GACGAACGCUGGCGGCGUGCCUAAUACAUGCAAGUAGAACGCUGAAGGAGGAGCUUGCUUCUCUGGAUGAGUUGCGAACGGGUGAGUAACGCGUAGGUAACCUGCCUGGUAGCGGGGGAUAACUAUUGGAAACGAUAGCUAAUACCGCAUAAGAGUAGAUGUUGCAUGACAUUUGCUUAAAAGGUGCAAUUGCAUCACUACCAGAUGGACCUGCGUUGUAUUAGCUAGUUGGUGGGGUAACGGCUUACCAAGGCGACGAUACAUAGCCGACCUGAGAGGGUGAUCGGCCACACUGGGACUGAGACACGGCCCAGACUCCUACGGGAGGCAGCAGUGGGGAAUCUUCGGCAAUGGACGGAAGUCUGACCGAGCAACGCCGCGUGAGUGAAGAAGGUUGUCGGAUCGUAAAGCUCUGUUGUAAGAGAAGAACGAGUGUGAGAGUGGAAAGUUCACACUGUGACGGUAUCUUACCAGAAAGGGACGGCUAACUACGUG
RNAcentral lists this ribosomal RNA (495 nucleotides) under uncultured bacterium. RNAcentral describes it as "partial 16S ribosomal RNA". It matches the Rfam family "Bacterial small subunit ribosomal RNA", at positions 28 to 507 of the family's 1533-position model. The record is from RNAcentral.